CUACGGGCCGCUGCAGUGAGGAAUAUUGCACAAUGGGGGGAACCCUGAUGCAGCAACGCCGCGUGGAGGAUGACGCAUUUCGGUGUGUAAACUCCUUUUAUAUGUCAAGAAAAUGGCGGUAGCAUAUGAAUAAGCACCGGCUAACUCCGUGCCAGCAGCCGCGGUAAUACGGAGGGUGCAAGCGUUACUCGGAAUCACUGGGCGUAAAGGACGCGUAGGCGGGUUGGAAAGUCAGGUGUGAAAUCCUACAGCUUAACUGUAGAACUGCACUUGAAACUUCUAAUCUAGAGUAUGGGAGGGGGAGAUGGAAUUAGUGGUGUAGGGGUAAAAUCCGUAGAUAUCACUAGGAAUACCUAAAGCGAAGGCGAUCUCCUGGAACAUUACUGACGCUAGGCGUGAAAGCGUGGGGAGCAAACAGGAUUAGAUACCCUCGUAGUC
This 438-nucleotide ribosomal RNA is filed under the name uncultured bacterium. Its description in RNAcentral is "partial 16S ribosomal RNA". It matches the Rfam family "Bacterial small subunit ribosomal RNA", at positions 339 to 795 of the family's 1533-position model. The record is from RNAcentral.